RNAcentral lists this ribosomal RNA (1129 nucleotides) under Klebsiella pneumoniae. Its description in RNAcentral is "bacterial SSU rRNA". It matches the Rfam family "Bacterial small subunit ribosomal RNA", at positions 356 to 1485 of the family's 1533-position model. Lineage: Bacteria; Pseudomonadati; Pseudomonadota; Gammaproteobacteria; Enterobacterales; Enterobacteriaceae. The record is from RNAcentral.
CGAAAUCAUCGGCAUCUCAUUGCGUGGCAGCCUGAUGCAGUCAUGCCGCAGUGAUUGCGAAGGAUGCUCGGUGUUACGCACUUUCAGCGGGGAGGACGCCGUAAGGUUAUUAUCUAGUCGAUUGGACGUUACCGCCAGAAGAAGCACCGGCUAACUUCGUGCCAGCAGCCGCGGUAUACGGAGGGUGCAAGCGUAUCGGAAUUACUGGGCGUAAGCGCACGCAGGCGGUCUGUCAAGUCGGAUGUGAAUCCCCGGGCUUCAACCUGGGAACUGCAUUCGAAACUGGCAGGCUAGAGUCUGUAGAGGGGGGUAGAAUUCCCAGGUGUAGCGGUGAAAUGCGUAGAGAUCUGGAGGAAUACCCGGUGGCGAAGGCGGCCCCCUGGACAAAGACUGACGCUCAGGUGCGAAAGCGUGGGGAGCAAACAGGAUUAGAUACCCUGGUAGUGCACGCCGUAAACGAUGUCGAUUUGGAGGUUGUGCCCUUGAGGCGUGGCUUCCGGAGCUAACGCGUUAAAUCGACCGCCUGGGGAGUACGGCCGCAAGGUUAAAACUCAAAUGAAUUGACGGGGGCCCGCACAAGCGGUGGAGCAUGUGGUUUAAUUCGAUGCAACGCGAAGAACCUUACCUGGUCUUGACAUCCACAGAACUUUCCAGAGAUGGAUUGGUGCCUUCGGGAACUGUGAGACAGGUGCUGCAUGGCUGUCGUCAGCUCGUGUUGUGAAAUGUUGGGUUAAGUCCCGCAACGAGCGCAACCCUUAUCCUUUGUUGCCAGCGGUUAGGCCGGGAACUCAAAGGAGACUGCCAGUGAUAAACUGGAGGAAGGUGGGGAUGACGUCAAGUCAUCAUGGCCCUUACGACCAGGGCUACACACGUGCUACAAUGGCAUAUACAAAGAGAAGCGACCUCGCGAGAGCAAGCGGACCUCAUAAAGUAUGUCGUAGUCCGGAUUGGAGUCUGCAACUCGACUCCAUGAAGUCGGAAUCGCUAGUAAUCGUAGAUCAGAAUGCUACGGUGAAUACGUUCCCGGGCCUUGUACACACCGCCCGUCACACCAUGGGAGUGGGUUGCAAAAGAAGUAGGUAGCUUAACCUUCGGGAGGGCGCUAAGUUAUCAGUCCAUCUGGAUGCAC